Molecule: non-coding RNA, 267 nt
Organism: Miniopterus natalensis
Lineage: Eukaryota; Metazoa; Chordata; Mammalia; Chiroptera; Miniopteridae
Source: RefSeq, a predicted model, not a curated record
AAGAUCAACUUUUAUCCUUCCAGGUAGAGGCAAGGUCCUGCCUGGGGACCCCCCGCCCCCAGGCAUGUGUCUGUUGGAAUAUCUCUGCUAUGUGAUCCCAGAUUUCUGCCCCACUUCUCCCGAGGAUGGACACCUGUCUCUCUGGAUCUUCUCAUUCACCCUGCUCCAGGACCUGGGCUUGAGGGCACUGCAACUUGAUGGCCAUCUUCACCUGCAGGCUUCCCUAUGUGUCACCCUAGGGUGCUGAGGCAGGAUCCAGUCCCCAGG